Molecule: ribosomal RNA, 460 nt
Filed under: uncultured bacterium
Lineage: Bacteria
Description: partial 16S ribosomal RNA
Rfam family: Bacterial small subunit ribosomal RNA
Source: RNAcentral
CCUACGGGAGGCUGCAGUGAGGAAUAUUGGUCAAUGGGCGGAAGCCUGAACCAGCCAAGUAGCGUGCAGGAUGACGGCCCUACGGGUUGUAAACUGCUUUUAUACGGGAAUAACGCGCCUUACGUGUAGGGCUUUGCAUGUACCGUAUGAAUAAGGACCGGCUAAUUCCGUGCCAGCAGCCGCGGUAUUACGGAAGGUCCGGGCGUUAUCCGGAUUUAUUGGGUGUAAAGGGAGCGUAGGCCGCAUGUCAAGCGUGCUGUGAAAUGUCCGGGCUCAACGCGGGUCUUGCAGCGCGAACUGGCGUGCUUGAGUGCGCGGGAGGAAAGCGGAAGUCGUGGUGUAGCGGUGAAAGGCUUAGAUAUGACGAAGAACCCCGAUUGCGAAGGCAGCUUGCUGCAGCGGAACUGACGCUGAUGCUCGAAAGCGCGGGUAUCGAACAGGAUUAGAUACCCGAGUAGUC